AACGCACAUUGCGCCCGCUAGUAUUCUAGCGGGCAUGCCUGUUCGAGCGUCAUUUCAACCCUCGGGCCCCGUCUUCUCGGACGGAUGGCCCGGCGUUGGGGAUCGGCCGCCCUCGAGGCGCCGCCGGCCCCUAAAUAUAGUGGCGGUCUCGCUGUAGCCUCCUCUGCGUAGUAGCACAACCUCGCACCGGAACGCAGCGCGGCCACGCCGUAAAACACACCACUUAUGAAAGGUUGACCUCGGAUCAGGUAGGAAUACCCGCUGAACUUAA
Molecule: unclassified non-coding RNA, 271 nt
Filed under: uncultured fungus
Lineage: Eukaryota; Fungi
Description: partial contains 5.8S ribosomal RNA, internal transcribed spacer 2, and large subunit ribosomal RNA
Rfam family: 5.8S ribosomal RNA (bases 1-52)
Source: RNAcentral